GAUGAACGCUGGCGGCGUGCUUAACACAUGCAAGUCGAACGGAAAGGCUCCUGUUUUGUGGGGUACUCGAGUGGCGAACGGGUGAGUAACACGUGGGUGAUCUUCCCUGCACUUCGGGAUAAGCCCAGGAAACUGGGUCUAAUACCGGAUAGGACCAUCGUUUUGAUGGCAUUGUUGAAAGUUUUUCUGUGUGGGAUGAGCGCGCUGCCUAUCAGCAUGUUGGUGGGGUAAUAGCAUAUUAAGGCGUCGAUGGGUAGCCGGCCUGAGAGGGUGGACGGCCACAUUGGGACUGAGAUACAGCCCAGACUCCUAAGGGAGGCAGCAGUGGGGAAUAUUGCACAAUGGGAGCAAGCCUGAUGCAGCGACGCCGCGUGGGGGAUGACGGCCUUCGGGUUGUAAACUCCUUUAGCUAGAGACGAAGCGAAAGUGACGGUACUUGGUAAAGAAGCAACGGCUAACUACGUG
Molecule: ribosomal RNA, 465 nt
Filed under: uncultured bacterium
Lineage: Bacteria
Description: partial 16S ribosomal RNA
Rfam family: Bacterial small subunit ribosomal RNA
Source: RNAcentral